AGAGUUUGAUCCUGGCUCAGGAUGAACGCUGGCGGCGUGCCUAAUACAUGCAAGUCGAGCGAACAGAUAAGGAGCUUGCUCCUUUGACGUUAGCGGCGGACGGGUGAGUAACACGUGGGUAACCUACCUAUAAGACUGGAAUAACUCCGGGAAACCGGGGCUAAUGCCGGAUAAUAUUUAGAACCGCAUGGUUCUAAAGUGAAAGAUGGUUUUACUAUCACUUAUAGAUGGACCCGCGCCGUAUUAGCUAGUUGGUGGGGUAAUGGCUUACCAAGGCAACGAUACGUAGCCGACCUGAGAGGGUGAUCGGCCACACUGGAACUGAGACACGGUCCAGACUCCUACGGGAGGCAGCAGUAGGGAAUCUUCCGCAAUGGGCGAAAGCCUGACGGAGCAACGCCGCGUGAGUGAUGAAGGUCUUCGGAUCGUAAAACUCUGUUAUUAGGGAAGAACAAAUGUGUAAGUAACUGUGCACGUCCUGACGGUACCUAAUCAGAAAGCCACGGCUAACUACGUG
RNAcentral lists this ribosomal RNA (517 nucleotides) under uncultured Staphylococcus sp. RNAcentral describes it as "bacterial SSU rRNA". It matches the Rfam family "Bacterial small subunit ribosomal RNA", at positions 8 to 507 of the family's 1533-position model. The record is from RNAcentral. Lineage: Bacteria; Bacillati; Bacillota; Bacilli; Caryophanales; Staphylococcaceae.